UCAGAUCUAUGGUGGCAACAACAGGUUACCGGCGAUUAGUAUGGUGGUGGUGGUAGAAACGGGUUUCCGUCGACGAGUGUGGUGGUGGCCGAAAUCAGAAAGGUUUAUCUAUGACAUUUUCAACUUAUGUAGAAAGUGCAAGAUCUGAACUAAUUAUUAUUUAUCUAAAAUUAUUAUUAUUAUAGAUCUGAAAUUAUUAUUAUUUCCUCUCAAAUGAUAUUGAAGGUAUUGUCUUUGUUGGUUUGUUAUAUUAUUGUAUUUUUUGUGUUGAAGGUGAUUGCUGUUUGUUGAUUUGUUGUUGGUGUGGUUACAGGUUGAUGAAGGAGAUGGUGGUGUAGGUUUGAAUGGUGACCAUAUGUUAAAUAUGGUGAGUUAUUACUACUAUCAUAUGUUUCUGAUGGAUAUGUUUUUUUUACGACGUGUGCAGUUUUGCAAUGAUAUAUCUAUGGUGGCGGCUAAACGUUUCCGGCGACGAGAGUGGCUGUGGAUGGAUUCGAAAUGGUUGAAGUGUUUUAUCAACUAAAAUUACAACGGUAUAAGUUAUAAUUUUCAACAAUGGGUUAUGAGAAAUUUUCAAUUAUGUUUAAUGUUUUAGAGUUUUAGUCAUUUAAAAACUUGCUAUCAUAAAGGUUUGUUCAUGUUUCCCAAAAACUUGCAGAAAUAAAGAAAUCUCAAAACUAUUUAUGUGGCUUGAAAGCAUCGUGAAGGUAAUGAUUUCUUAUUUUGAUCUAAGGGCAACAAAGAAAGCAAUUUAAGUCAUUAGAAGUAUGCCAUUGAGGUUUAGCAAGGAGGGCAUACAAUAUUUGAUUCUGAAGUCAUUAUGUUUCGAACUAAUCUAUUUAUUUUUUCUUACUGUUUCCAACAAGUCAAUAUAGUUUAAGGGAGGUGCUUGCAUACCUCCACCCCUAAACUUGCAGCAAAUUAAUCCAUAGACAGGGACCUAUGCUGAUGGGAGUGUCGACAGAAAGUCGGGAUCAAGUGGCUCGGGAAGAUUGGGACUUGGGGCCACGGCUGAUCCAAAUGAAGUGAGUUAGUAUGAUGAUGUAUAUACAUCUUACAAGAAGCAGAGAAGCACAAAUUAUCACACUUCAAUGAGUGCUAGAGCAGCUGUGAGAUGAAAGCUAUCAUAAUAAGUUUCACAUCGUUGGGUCACUUGGGUGUGUAGACUGGAUCACGUUGGGUUGCCUUUGUUGAUGUUUAUCUGAAACUGGAAACUGAAGUUCCUGCAAACUUGAAAACACACUUGGUGAUGGGAUUAAAGAAAAAAGAAAGUAAAUUUCAAAUUCCUCUAAAUGCAGCACCAGACUAACAUCAUAUUUCUAUUUUUUUAAGAUCAUUUUUCCAAAAGAUACAAAAUUCCAUUUCUAUGGCUACUGCUACUAUUCCAUCUUCAUACAUAACUCAGGAACAAUUACGCUCAAAGAAUUUCAGGCGGUAAUGGAUGACAUCUUUGAAAGAUACCCUCAGGUGAAGCUAUUCCUAAAGAAUAAACAGAUGCGUGGCAUUGCUGAUCUUUUGGAAGAAUCCAAAGGAGAUGUUGAAAAAGAAUCUAUUGAAAUUACUAUCGAAGAACUCAAAACUGCACUUUUCAAUUUGGUCACUGAUGAAAUUUCCUCCUGCUACAGCUCAGUAUCUCCACAAAGAUGAAUACUUGAAAGGAAUCAAAAUAUAUGAGUCAAUUAUUAAGGCAUAUGCAUCCUAUGAUGAACAUGGAAAAGAUGAAAGGUUGAAAGAUGAGCUAUGAGCAAAGACUGUGGCUCUGUGGCUUUGUCUAAGAUGUAGCAUGAUUUGAAGUGACUCAAUAAAAAAGGAAUGAAGCCACUUAGCUUUGUGAGUAUUUUCAUAAAUAAACUGUAUUAUUUUGAAAUGGAAAACUACUCUAUUAUGUUUGAUUGCAGCCACCCAGUCGAGUCUGCAGUGUGUCAUGCCAAGUUAAUGUUAGUAUACAGUUUUGAAGAAUGAAGCAAUGAUAUGAGACAUGUAUAUAAUUGAUUUUAAAAAACUAUGAUGCAUCAUGGUUGAAUUUAAACAAUGUCAUUUUUAACCUUUGUCUUAAUCUUUCUAUAUGGUAAAU
Long non-coding RNA from Vicia villosa (hairy vetch), 2074 nucleotides. RefSeq lists it as uncharacterized. Lineage: Eukaryota; Viridiplantae; Streptophyta; Magnoliopsida; Fabales; Fabaceae. The record is from RefSeq and is a predicted model, not a curated record. The transcript is spliced from 3 exons.